Molecule: long non-coding RNA, 688 nt
Filed under: Malus domestica (apple)
Lineage: Eukaryota; Viridiplantae; Streptophyta; Magnoliopsida; Rosales; Rosaceae
Description: long non-coding RNA (MDOM_LNC013209)
Source: RNAcentral
UCGUAUAAAUAUGCUCCUAUCAAUUUCCCCCACACUUAGCUUUUGCUAGUCCUCGAGCAAAACAAAGAAAACAAGAACAAGUAGUAACAAGAAAAACAUUAGCUUCCCCCUAUGUGACCCUCAUAGAAUUUCAUUUGAGAACACAAAUCAACAAGAACCAUAGCUAGCACCAAACAAGCUAAUCCAAGUUCAUCUUCCUUAUUCAAAUAUUAGCAGUAAUCUUUAAAUCAUCCUUGAAGUGUAGUGUGUGAGAUAGCCAUGCUAAUGCAAUUUCAAAAUUUUUUUUUUAUUUAUUUAUUUUUAAAAUCAUCAUAUGCAAACUAGCAACCUUCUCACGGGAUAUACACUCAAUCACACAUGUGUUUAGUUUAAAUGUGUUUCGCUCAAAGAAUCAAAUGUGAAAUUUCUACCAUAAGCUUGCAUAAAGAUCACUUCUCCACAGUCAUAAUUGCAAAACUUAAAUCAAGAGGACUUUUAUUGGAUGUAAUGAGGCUUAGGGAUAGGGUUAUUGAAACGAAAGAAUAGGAAAACACAAGUUCCAAGCUACAUUGCAAGCAAUUCUUUUGUUUAGAUUUAUAAGAACUCAAUCUUUCCAGCGAUUCUUCUAGCACCUCCAACCACACCCUUAACUGAAACUUGAAAAACUUUUUAUUUUCUUUGUAUACAAUCUUUCUUUUUCUUUUUUUUU